GUCUUACUGCUAGCCAAAGAUGACUAAGCAGAAACAAGGACUGUUACAUUGGCAUUAAUAAUGCCAGGCAGGGAGUGUUCUGCCUCUGUCAGAGGCUGUGUAUAAUUUAUGAUGGACAUUGCAUUUAUACUUACCUAAUCUUUGUUUAAUGUUUAAUAUGCUUUUCAUAUUUCAUUUACCUUUAUUUGCUGCUUAUGUGUAAUUUUGUAUAUGAGGACUUUUAUUUUGACAAGUCUAUGUGAGCGCAGCAUGUUGGGUAAUCAGGAAGCAGUAAGCAUUGUGUAGUGCACAUUGAGUGUAUGUUUGAGUUGCAUCCAAGUUAAUCCUUCUUCAAAAUGCUACAGAAGCACCGGUUUUUUACUCGGUUCAUUGACCUGUGAGUUUGCCCUGUAACUGCAUAGUGGACUAUUAAAGGAGCAAGGCGCUCAUUUCCUGGCUCUUGAACAGAGUUUGGCUGGCUGUUUAUUUAUAUCAACGCUUGGAUAGCAAAACAUAUAAAGAGAACAGUACAAAAGGAGUUGCUGAAGGAUUACGUUCUCCAGCGACUUCAAGACCGUGUGCUACAUGUAUUGAAGAGACAGCCUCUGGACACAGAUUAUUUGCAGUUUGUCUGCAGACAGGAGCUUGUACUAAUCAGUGCCUUGACUAAUAUAAUAAACAUUUCUGAGAAUGUUAUUUUAGCCCUUACACAUCUAAAUAUUGCGAUAAAUCGCCAGAUGGAUAGUGAAGAGGUGUGUGUAACAGUGGAUGUGGAAAGAGGUGGUGGUUGUGGAGGUCCAAGAUUGACAAUUUCAACAAACACUCUUAUCCACCUUAUUGAACUUGGUUUGCCUUUAAAAUGUGUUGCCAAUAUAUUGGGAGUGUCUCGAGCAACAUUGCAUAGAAGGAUGGCGGACAACAAUUUGUCAGUUACUGCACUGUACAGCACUUCUACCGAUGAAGAGUUAGAUGCUCUUGUGACAGAAGUGAAGAACUCUAUGCCAGAUGCAGGAUACAGAAUGGUCCGAGAGGCUCUCCUUGUAAAAGGCCACCGGGUUCAGUGGGACAGAGUCGUUGCAUCUAUGCAUCGGGUGGACAGUGUUGGUGUCUUGUCAAGAAUGACCAACCUAAGAUGCAUUGCUCGAAGAACAUAUAAAGUUCCUUAUCCCAAGUACAUAGUUCAUGUAGACACCAACCACAAACUCAUCAGGUAAGUCUGUGUGUAAUUUCACAAUUGUAUUUUGUAUAUUUGAGAAAUGCUGUCAAGUAAUAUAUCAGAGUAUAGUUAGAAAGACAUCUGUCAUUUUUAGCUGCUGGCCUUCUACUGCAUCAUUCACACUGUUUAAUUGUGAAAACCCAGCUUAAAAUCCUUUUGGGAUUUAAUGUUUUCUAAAUAAAAUUAUUCUACGUAAUGUAAUAACAUUUGGAAAAAAUAUUACCUUGAUAUUUGAUAACCGAGUAAGGUCAUGUUAAAGGGAUA
Paramisgurnus dabryanus is the source of this 1459-nucleotide long non-coding RNA. RefSeq lists it as uncharacterized. NCBI's taxonomy places the organism in Eukaryota, Metazoa, Chordata, Actinopteri, Cypriniformes, Cobitidae. The record is from RefSeq and is a predicted model, not a curated record.